Molecule: ribosomal RNA, 497 nt
Filed under: uncultured bacterium
Lineage: Bacteria
Description: partial 16S ribosomal RNA
Rfam family: Bacterial small subunit ribosomal RNA
Source: RNAcentral
GAUGAACGCUGGCGGCGUGCCUAAUACAUGCAAGUCGAGCGAACAGACGAGGAGCUUGCUCCUUUGACGUUAGCGGCGGACGGGUGAGUAACACGUGGAUAACCUACCUAUAAGACUGGGAUAACUUCGGGAAACCGGAGCUAAUACCGGAUAACAUGUUGAAUCGCAUGGUUCAACAGUGAAAGACGGUCUUGCUGUCACUUAUAGAUGGAUCCGCGCCGCAUUAGCUAGUUGGUAAGGUAACGGCUUACCAAGGCAACGAUGCGUAGCCGACCUGAGAGGGUGAUCGGCCACACUGGAACUGAGACACGGUCCAGACUCCUACGGGAGGCAGCAGUAGGGAAUCUUCCGCAAUGGGCGAAAGCCUGACGGAGCAACGCCGCGUGAGUGAAGAAGGUCUUCGGAUCGUAAAACUCUGUUAUUAGGGAAGAACAAAUGUGUAAGUAACUAUGCACGUCUUGACGGUACCUAAUCAGAAAGCCACGGCUAACUACGUG